CAGCAGCCGCGGUAAUACGAAGGUCCCGAGCGUUGUUCGGAAUCACUGGGCGUAAAGGGAGCGUAGGCGGCGUGGUAAGUCAGAUGUGAAAUCCCGGGGCUCAACCCCGGAACUGCAUCCGAUACUGCCGUGCUAGAGGAUUGGAGAGGUAGCUGGAAUUCUUGGUGUAGCAGUGAAAUGCGUGGAGAUCAAGAGGAACACUCGUGGCGAAAGCGAGCUACUGGACAAUAACUGACGCUGAGGCUCGAAGGCCAGGGUAGCAAAAGGGAUUAGAUACCCCCGUAGUCCCUGUCUCUUAUAU
Molecule: ribosomal RNA, 301 nt
Filed under: uncultured bacterium
Lineage: Bacteria
Description: partial 16S ribosomal RNA
Rfam family: Bacterial small subunit ribosomal RNA
Source: RNAcentral